RNAcentral lists this ribosomal RNA (301 nucleotides) under uncultured bacterium. RNAcentral's name for it is "partial 16S ribosomal RNA". It matches the Rfam family "Bacterial small subunit ribosomal RNA", at positions 509 to 807 of the family's 1533-position model. The record is from RNAcentral.
CAGUAGCCGCGGUAAUACGAAGGGUGCAAGCGUUACUCGGAAUUACUGGGCGUAAAGCGUGCGUAGGCGGUGAGUUAAGUCUGCUGUGAAAUCCCCGGGCUCAACCUGGGAAUGGCAGUGGAUACUGGCUCGCUAGAGUGUGUCAGAGGAUGGUGGAAUUCCCGGUGUAGCGGUGAAAUGCGUAGAGAUCGGGAGGAACAUUAGUGGCGAAGGCGGCCAUCUGGGACAACACUGACGCUGAGGCACGAAAGCGUGGGGAGCAAACAGGAUUAGAGACCCCCGUAGUCCCUGUCUCUUAUAC